GAUGAACGCUGGCGGCGUGCCUAAUACAUGCAAGUCGAGCGAACGGACGAGGAGCUUGCUUUUCUGAUGUUAGCGGCGGACGGGGGAGUAAAACGUGGAUAACCUACCUAUAAGACUGGGAUAACUUCGGGAAACCGGAGCUAAUACCGGAUAAUAUUUUGAACCGCAUGGUUCAAAAGUUAAAGACGGUUUUGCUGUCACUUAUAGAUGGAUCCGCUCUGCAUUAGCUAGUUGGUAAGGUAACGGCUUACCAAGGCAACGAUGCAUAGCCGACCUGAGAGGGUGAUCGGCCACACUGGAACUGAGACACGGUCCAGACUCCUACGGGAGGCAGCAGUAGGGAAUCUUGCGCAAUGGGCGAAAGCCUGACGCAGCCACGCCGCGUGAGUGAUGAAGGUCUUCGGAUCGUAAAACUCUGUUAUUAGGGAAGAACAUAUGUGUAAGUAACUGUGCACAUCUUGACGGUACCUAAUCAGAAAGCCCCGGCUAACUACGUG
Molecule: ribosomal RNA, 497 nt
Filed under: uncultured bacterium
Lineage: Bacteria
Description: partial 16S ribosomal RNA
Rfam family: Bacterial small subunit ribosomal RNA
Source: RNAcentral